CCUCCUUUCUAAGGAUGAGUGAAAGUAAAAUUUCACUCUAAAUAAUAUACAUCGGUAAUGUUGACCGUCCUCAUUUCUCUUCUUAAAGUAAUGUUUCCUUCUUGUAGGGCCGGUAGCUCAGUUGGUUAGAGCACACCCUUGAUAAGGGUGGGGUCGAAAGUUCGAGUCUUUCUCGGCCCACCAAAAACCUAAAUGGGGGAUUAGCUCAUCUGGGAGAGCGCCUGAUUUGCAUUCAGGAGGUAGCAGGUUCGAUCCCUGUAUCCUCCACCAGGAAACAUUUAGUUAUUAAAACUGUAAAUAAAAAUAAUUUAUAUCAAUAUCUAUAUCCGAACAUUAAAAGUUAUUAUUUAAUGUUCAAAAUAAAAAUUUGAUCACAACAUAGAUNAAUUUUCUGUAAAAAGAAUUUUUUUCUGUGCAUAAAUCAAGCGUUUAAGGGCGUGUAGUGGAUGCCUGGGCACUGAAAGCCGAUGAAGGACGUGAUAUACUGCGAUAAGUUUCGGGGAGCUGUAUGUAAGCUUUGAUCC
RNAcentral lists this unclassified non-coding RNA (524 nucleotides) under uncultured Pelagibacterales bacterium. RNAcentral describes it as "partial 16S-23S ribosomal RNA intergenic spacer". The stretch from base 420 to 524 matches the Rfam family "Bacterial large subunit ribosomal RNA", at positions 1 to 105 of the family's 2925-position model. Lineage: Bacteria; Pseudomonadati; Pseudomonadota; Alphaproteobacteria; Candidatus Pelagibacterales. The record is from RNAcentral.